GGGGAAUUUUGGAUAAUGGGCGCAAGCCUGAUCCAGCAAUGCCGCGUGCAGGACGAAGGCCUUCGGGUUGUAAACUGCUUUUGUACGGAGCGAAACGGCUCUCUCUAAUACAGGGGGCUAAUGACGGUACCGUAAGAAUAAGCACCGGCUAACUACGUGCCAGCAGCCGCGGUAAUACGUAGGGUGCGAGCGUUAAUCGGAAUUACUGGGCGUAAAGCGUGCGCAGGCGGUUUUGUAAGACAGAUGUGAAAACCCCGGGCUCAACCUGGGAACUGCAUUUGUGACUGCAAGGCUAGAGUACGGCAGAGGGGGAUGGAAUUCCGCGUGUAGCAGUGAAAUGCGUAGAUAUGCGGAGGAACACCGAUGGCGAAGGCAAUCCCCUGGGCCUGUACUGACGCUCAUGCACGAAAGCGUGGGGAGCAAAC
RNAcentral lists this ribosomal RNA (425 nucleotides) under uncultured bacterium. RNAcentral describes it as "bacterial SSU rRNA". It matches the Rfam family "Bacterial small subunit ribosomal RNA", at positions 356 to 773 of the family's 1533-position model. The record is from RNAcentral.